This 963-nucleotide long non-coding RNA is filed under the name Homo sapiens (human). RNAcentral's name for it is "HSALNT0134931". The record is from RNAcentral. Lineage: Eukaryota; Metazoa; Chordata; Mammalia; Primates; Hominidae.
GCCAACACUCUGAGAAGGAAAUUGAAGCUCAGAGAAGGUCCAGCAGCUGGUGAGUAGCAGAGAACAUGAGUUUCCAGUUGACAAAGUCUGUGCUCAGCUCCUUCACUGAACAUUGCUCUGAGCCAACGCAUGUCAGCGAGAGGACGCGGUGACACCGGCCUGUGGUUGCACCCAGAAACAAACAAGUAGGGAGAGCAGCCCCAGUUCUCCAGAAUGACCUCUUUCCUCCGAAUCCCACUCCAGGAAGAGAGUCCAGCAGGGGCCCCUGAGCUUGGGGCUGGCCCUGUGCGCUGUCAGCAGAGACCCCUGUCCAUCAGCACUUUGCAUGGGUCUGUCCUGCUUCAGUGGGGAAUGUUCCUCAGCAAAAGAACUGAGUGCAAUGCAGGGAUGCCAUCGGAGUUGGCUGGGGACAGCCUGGCUUUGUCAUGUUAGGGGGCAUGGAGGGGCAUGCAGUGCUCAGGGUGGACACCACACACAAGGGUCACACUGAGCUCAGAGGAACAAAUCGCAGGGAGAGAAUGUGCCAAUGGUGCUUUCUCCAAGACACCUCUGACCUGGAACUGCAAACCACCGCUGAUUCCCCUGCCCAGCUCCUCUGUUAGAAUGACCCCGUGGGGCUGCAGAUGACUUAACAGCUAUAUUUAGCAAGUCAUGGGAGGGAUGGGCCAGUUCCAGCCAGCUAGCCUGCCUUCAGAGGCCCUAGAUUCCUUUGUCCUUCCCUUCUGCCUCCCCUCCUAGUUUUUCCCACUGGCUGGCUCUUAACCCCUUCAUGGCUUGAGGACUCCUCUCAAAUAUGGGCAAAGCAGAUAGAACGUAAGGGAGGCCACCCGAGUAUCCCAGCCCCCAAAUUUCUCACUCAGCUGCCUGGAACUCUGCUUUACGAACUCCCUUUCUUCAGUCCUGAACUUUUCUUUUUUUUCAUCAUUAAGUGUUUCCUAAUAAAAUUAUGCAAGUACCCUUGGG